GUAGGUAUGGCUCAGGGGUAGAGUGCAUGCUUAGCAUGCAUGAGGUCCUGGGUUCAAUCGCCAGGACCUCCA
RNAcentral lists this transfer RNA (72 nucleotides) under Camelus bactrianus (Bactrian camel). It matches the Rfam family "tRNA". From Rfam's summary of the family: Transfer RNA (tRNA) molecules are approximately 80 nucleotides in length. Their secondary structure includes four short double-helical elements and three loops (D, anti-codon, and T loops). Further hydrogen bonds mediate the characteristic L-shaped molecular structure. tRNAs have two regions of fundamental functional importance: the anti-codon, which is responsible for specific mRNA codon recognition, and the 3' end, to which the tRNAs corresponding amino acid is attached (by aminoacyl-tRNA synthetases). tRNAs cope with the degeneracy of the genetic code in two manners: having more than one tRNA (with a specific anti-codon) for a particular amino acid; and 'wobble' base-pairing, i.e. permitting non-standard base-pairing at the 3rd anti-codon position. RNAcentral also lists the same sequence under 1 other name. The record is from Rfam by way of RNAcentral. Lineage: Eukaryota; Metazoa; Chordata; Mammalia; Artiodactyla; Camelidae.